GUCGCUAUGGUGAAAUUGGUAUACACGUACGCUUGAGGUGCGUAUGCCGCAAGGCGUGGAGGUUCAAGUCCUCUUAGCGACACCA
RNAcentral lists this transfer RNA (85 nucleotides) under bacterium. RNAcentral's name for it is "tRNA-Leu". It matches the Rfam family "tRNA". Rfam says of the family: Transfer RNA (tRNA) molecules are approximately 80 nucleotides in length. Their secondary structure includes four short double-helical elements and three loops (D, anti-codon, and T loops). The record is from RNAcentral.